This 2923-nucleotide ribosomal RNA is filed under the name Klebsiella pneumoniae. RNAcentral describes it as "23S ribosomal RNA". It matches the Rfam family "Bacterial large subunit ribosomal RNA". Lineage: Bacteria; Pseudomonadati; Pseudomonadota; Gammaproteobacteria; Enterobacterales; Enterobacteriaceae. The record is from RNAcentral.
GGGUUGUGAGGUUAAGCGACUAAGCGUACACGGUGGAUGCCCUGGCAGUCAGAGGCGAUGAAGGACGUGCUAAUCUGCGAAAAGCGUCGGUAAGGUGAUAUGAACCGUUAUAACCGGCGAUGUCCGAAUGGGGAAACCCAGUGUGAUUCGUCACACUAUCGUUAACUGAAUACAUAGGUUAACGAGGCGAACCGGGGGAACUGAAACAUCUAAGUACCCCGAGGAAAAGAAAUCAACCGAGAUUCCCCCAGUAGCGGCGAGCGAACGGGGAGCAGCCCAGAGUCUGAAUCAGCUUGUGUGUUAGUGGAACGGUCUGGAAAGUCCGACGGUACAGGGUGAUAGUCCCGUACACCAAAAUGCACAGGCUGUGAACUCGAAGAGUAGGGCGGGACACGUGGUAUCCUGUCUGAAUAUGGGGGGACCAUCCUCCAAGGCUAAAUACUCCUGACUGACCGAUAGUGAACCAGUACCGUGAGGGAAAGGCGAAAAGAACCCCGGCGAGGGGAGUGAAAAAGAACCUGAAACCGUGUACGUACAAGCAGUGGGAGCACCUUCGGGUGUGACUGCGUACCUUUUGUAUAAUGGGUCAGCGACUUAUAUUCUGUAGCAAGGUUAACCGUAUAGGGGAGCCGCAGGGAAACCGAGUCUUAACUGGGCGUUAAGUUGCAGGGUAUAGACCCGAAACCCGGUGAUCUAGCCAUGGGCAGGUUGAAGGUUGGGUAACACUAACUGGAGGACCGAACCGACUAAUGUUGAAAAAUUAGCGGAUGACUUGUGGCUGGGGGUGAAAGGCCAAUCAAACCGGGAGAUAGCUGGUUCUCCCCGAAAGCUAUUUAGGUAGCGCCUCGUGAACUCAUCUUCGGGGGUAGAGCACUGUUUCGGCUAGGGGGUCAUCCCGACUUACCAACCCGAUGCAAACUACGAAUACCGAAGAAUGUUAUCACGGGAGACACACGGCGGGUGCUAACGUCCGUCGUGAAGAGGGAAACAACCCAGACCGCCAGCUAAGGUCCCAAAGUCAUGGUUAAGUGGGAAACGAUGUGGGAAGGCACAGACAGCCAGGAUGUUGGCUUAGAAGCAGCCAUCAUUUAAAGAAAGCGUAAUAGCUCACUGGUCGAGUCGGCCUGCGCGGAAGAUGUAACGGGGCUAAACCAUGCACCGAAGCUGCGGCAGCGACACUAUGUGUUGUUGGGUAGGGGAGCGUUCUGUAAGCCUGCGAAGGUGUGCUGUGAGGCAUGCUGGAGGUAUCAGAAGUGCGAAUGCUGACAUAAGUAACGAUAAAGCGGGUGAAAAGCCCGCUCGCCGGAAGACCAAGGGUUCCUGUCCAACGUUAAUCGGGGCAGGGUGAGUCGACCCCUAAGGCGAGGCCGAAAGGCGUAGUCGAUGGGAAACAGGUUAAUAUUCCUGUACUUGGUGUUACUGCGAAGGGGGGACGGAGAAGGCUAUGUUAGCCGGGCGACGGUUGUCCCGGUUUAAGCAUGUAGGCUGGUUAUCCAGGCAAAUCCGGAUAAUCAAGGCUGAGGUGUGAUGACGAGGCACUACGGUGCUGAAGUAACAAAUGCCCUGCUUCCAGGAAAAGCCUCUAAGCAUCAGGUAACAUCAAAUCGUACCCCAAACCGACACAGGUGGUCAGGUAGAGAAUACCAAGGCGCUUGAGAGAACUCGGGUGAAGGAACUAGGCAAAAUGGUGCCGUAACUUCGGGAGAAGGCACGCUGGUGUGUAGGUGAAGUCCCUGCGGAUGGAGCUGAGACCAGUCGAAGAUACCAGCUGGCUGCAACUGUUUAUUAAAAACACAGCACUGUGCAAACACGAAAGUGGACGUAUACGGUGUGACGCCUGCCCGGUGCCGGAAGGUUAAUUGAUGGGGUUAUCCGUAAGGAGAAGCUCUUGAUCGAAGCCCCGGUAAACGGCGGCCGUAACUAUAACGGUCCUAAGGUAGCGAAAUUCCUUGUCGGGUAAGUUCCGACCUGCACGAAUGGCGUAAUGAUGGCCAGGCUGUCUCCACCCGAGACUCAGUGAAAUUGAACUCGCUGUGAAGAUGCAGUGUACCCGCGGCAAGACGGAAAGACCCCGUGAACCUUUACUAUAGCUUGACACUGAACAUUGAGCCUUGAUGUGUAGGAUAGGUGGGAGGCUUUGAAGCGUGGACGCCAGUCUGCGUGGAGCCAACCUUGAAAUACCACCCUUUAAUGUUUGAUGUUCUAACGUUGGCCCCUGACCGGGGUUGCGGACAGUGUCUGGUGGGUAGUUUGACUGGGGCGGUCUCCUCCCAAAGCGUAACGGAGGAGCACGAAGGUUAGCUAAUCCUGGUCGGACAUCAGGAGGUUAGUGCAAUGGCAUAAGCUAGCUUGACUGCGAGCGUGACGGCGCGAGCAGGUGCGAAAGCAGGUCAUAGUGAUCCGGUGGUUCUGAAUGGAAGGGCCAUCGCUCAACGGAUAAAAGGUACUCCGGGGAUAACAGGCUGAUACCGCCCAAGAGUUCAUAUCGACGGCGGUGUUUGGCACCUCGAUGUCGGCUCAUCACAUCCUGGGGCUGAAGUAGGUCCCAAGGGUAUGGCUGUUCGCCAUUUAAAGUGGUACGCGAGCUGGGUUUAGAACGUCGUGAGACAGUUCGGUCCCUAUCUGCCGUGGGCGCUGGAGAAUUGAGGGGGGCUGCUCCUAGUACGAGAGGACCGGAGUGGACGCAUCACUGGUGUUCGGGUUGUCAUGCCAAUGGCACUGCCCGGUAGCUAAAUGCGGAAGAGAUAAGUGCUGAAAGCAUCUAAGCACGAAACUUGCCCCGAGAUGAGUUCUCCCUGAGACUAUAAGUCUCCUGAAGGAACGUUGAAGACGACGACGUUGAUAGGCCGGGUGUGUAAGCGCAGCGAUGCGUUGAGCUAACCGGUACUAAUGAACCGUGAGGCUUAACCUUACAACGCCGAAG